Molecule: long non-coding RNA, 319 nt
Filed under: Nicotiana benthamiana
Lineage: Eukaryota; Viridiplantae; Streptophyta; Magnoliopsida; Solanales; Solanaceae
Description: long non-coding RNA (NBEN_LNC009200)
Source: RNAcentral
AACGGUUGAAAAUAUCAAAAGAAAAACAAAUUACUAUUCCAUUGCAUUUCUUCUAAAAUUCUGGAGACUUUCUAUUUCUGAUUGAUCUGGGUGUAGAAAUGAAGUGAAUCUAAGUCUAGAAGUCUGAAUUUGAUUUAUGUGGAGUUUGGUUUGAGGUCUGGUUGGGUUUAGCUGGUCAAGCACUGUUACGUUGCUGCUAUGUUACUUUGCUGCUGCUGACCUUCUCUUGCUUUUCCAGGUAUAUGACCCAGUAACUCUUUGAUUGUGAAGUCUUUAAUGUGAAGAAUGAGAUAAGAAGCAGAAGUUUCAAUGAAUGGCA